RNAcentral lists this ribosomal RNA (514 nucleotides) under uncultured bacterium. RNAcentral's name for it is "partial 16S ribosomal RNA". It matches the Rfam family "Bacterial small subunit ribosomal RNA", at positions 28 to 523 of the family's 1533-position model. The record is from RNAcentral.
GAUGAACGCUGGCGGCGUGCCUAAUACAUGCAAGUCGAGCGAACUGAUUAGAAGCUUGCUUCUAUGACGUUAGCGGCGGACGGGUGAGUAACACGUGGGCAACCUGCCUGUAAGACUGGGAUAACUUCGGGAAACCGAAGCUAAUACCGGAUAGGAUCUUCUCCUUCAUGGGAGAUGAUUGAAAGAUGGUUUCGGCUAUCACUUACAGAUGGGCCCGCGGUGCAUUAGCUAGUUGGUGAGGUAACGGCUCACCAAGGCAACGAUGCAUGGCCGACCUGAGAGGGUGGUCGGCCACACUGGGACUGAGACACGGCCCAGACUCCUACGGGAGGCAGCAGUAGGGAAUCUUCCGCAAUGGACGAAAGUCUGACGGAGCAACGCCGCGUGAGUGAUGAAGGCUUUCGGGUCGUAAAACUCUGUUGUUAGGGAAGAACAAGUACAAGAGUAACUGCUUGUACCUUGACGGUACCUAACCAGAAAGCCACGGCUAACUACGUGCCAGCAGCCGCAGUAA